CGUGGCUUAAGAGCACCAGCUUUGGGAGUUGGUAGGUGCGGGUUCGAGUCCCGUCG
RNAcentral lists this transfer RNA (56 nucleotides) under Stappia sp. ES.058. It matches the Rfam family "tRNA", at positions 6 to 65 of the family's 71-position model. From Rfam's summary of the family: Transfer RNA (tRNA) molecules are approximately 80 nucleotides in length. Their secondary structure includes four short double-helical elements and three loops (D, anti-codon, and T loops). The record is from Rfam by way of RNAcentral. Lineage: Bacteria; Pseudomonadati; Pseudomonadota; Alphaproteobacteria; Hyphomicrobiales; Stappiaceae.